GACGAACGCUGGCGGCGUGCUUAACACAUGCAAGUCGAACGGAAAGGCCCUGCUUUUGUGGGGUGCUCGAGUGGCGAACGGGUGAGUAACACGUGAGUAACCUGCCCUUGACUUUGGGAUAACUUCAGGAAACUGGGGCUAAUACCGGAUAGGAGCUCCUGCUGCAUGGUGGGGGUUGGAAAGUUUCGGCGGUUGGGGAUGGACUCGCGGCUUAUCAGCUUGUUGGUGGGGUAGUGGCUUACCAAGGCUUUGACGGGUAGCCGGCCUGAGAGGGUGACCGGCCACAUUGGGACUGAGAAACGGCCCAGACCCCUACGGGAGGCAGCAGUGGGGAAUAUUGCACAAUGGGCGGAAGCCUGAUGCAGCAACGCCGCGUGCGGGAUGACGGCCUUCGGGUUGUAAACCGCUUUCGCCUGUGACGAAGCGUGAGUGACGGUAAUGGGUAAAGAAGCACCGGCUAACUACGUG
RNAcentral lists this ribosomal RNA (468 nucleotides) under uncultured bacterium. RNAcentral's name for it is "partial 16S ribosomal RNA". It matches the Rfam family "Bacterial small subunit ribosomal RNA", at positions 28 to 507 of the family's 1533-position model. The record is from RNAcentral.